RNAcentral lists this non-coding RNA (21 nucleotides) under Caenorhabditis elegans. The record is from RNAcentral. Lineage: Eukaryota; Metazoa; Nematoda; Chromadorea; Rhabditida; Rhabditidae.
UAAGGUAUUGCAUUUUAAAUC